GCCACCGUGGUCUAGCGGUUAGAACGCUGGCCUUGUAAUCCUGGGGUCUCGGGUUCGAUUCCCGGCGGUGCCC
RNAcentral lists this transfer RNA (73 nucleotides) under Zootermopsis nevadensis. It matches the Rfam family "tRNA". Rfam says of the family: Transfer RNA (tRNA) molecules are approximately 80 nucleotides in length. The record is from Rfam by way of RNAcentral. Lineage: Eukaryota; Metazoa; Arthropoda; Insecta; Blattodea; Termopsidae.